UACGUAGGUGGCAAGCGUUGUCCGGAUUUAUUGGGUUUAAAGGGUGCGUAGGCGGUUUGAUAAGUUAGAGGUGAAAUGUCGGGGCUCAACCCCGAAACUGCCUCUAAUACUGUUGGACUAGAGAAUAGUUGCGGUAGGCGGAAUGUAUGGUGUAGCGGUGAAAUGCUUAGAGAUCAUACAGAACACCGAUUGCGAAGGCAGCUUACCAAACUAUAUCUGACGUUGAGGCACGAAAGCGUGGGUAGCAAACAGG
Molecule: ribosomal RNA, 253 nt
Filed under: uncultured bacterium
Lineage: Bacteria
Description: partial 16S ribosomal RNA
Rfam family: Bacterial small subunit ribosomal RNA
Source: RNAcentral